GUAGGUGGCAAGCGUUAUCCGGAUUUAUUGGGCGUAAAGCGAGCGCAGGCGGUCUUUUAAGUCUAAUGUGAAAGCCUUCGGCUCAACCGAAGAAGUGCAUUGGAAACUGGGAGACCUGAGUGCAGAAGAGGACAGUGGAACUCCAUGUGUAGCGGUGAAAUGCGUAGAUAUAUGGAAGAACACCAGUGGCGAAGGCGGCUGCCUGGUCUGCAACUGACGCUGAGGCUCGAAAGCAUGGGUAGCGAACAGGAUUAGAUACCCUGGUAGUCCAUGCCGUAAACGAUGAUUACUAAGUGUUGGAGGGUUUCCGCCCUUCAGUGCUGCAGCUAACGCAUUAAGUAAUCCGCCUGGGGAGUACGACCGCAAGGUUG
This 371-nucleotide ribosomal RNA is filed under the name uncultured bacterium. RNAcentral's name for it is "bacterial SSU rRNA". It matches the Rfam family "Bacterial small subunit ribosomal RNA", at positions 527 to 896 of the family's 1533-position model. The record is from RNAcentral.